CUAUCAUCUCAUACCUCUCUAAGCUUAUCCAUUUUCCUACUGUUUCCUUCUUUCCUUGAUGGUGGAGGGAAGAUACCGAUGGGUGUGUUUGACAUGCAUAUACCACGGUAAGGGUGGUGAAUUAAUUGACGGUACAAGAAAGUUCUAUUUACUAAUUUAUUACAAAGAAAUACACACAAGCUCUACAGUAAAGCGCUUUGUUCAUCAAAGAACAAAGAAGUUGAGGCUUUGCUUACAACACACCAGAUUGUUAAUUUCAUCAAAGAAAUAAGCGUUAAAAGAGCAAAGUUAAAAACAGUAGUCAAACAUUUGUAAAUUAUAAUCGAAGUGUUCCUGCAAUAGAUUUUCAAGUUUGGAAUGAAGUGAUUUAAACAAUGCCUGAUUUUUGUAUUUAUGACUGAAAUUUUAAGAGCUCUCUACUGCUAAAGAAAAAUGGCAUAUAUCAAUAAUAUUUAAUCAUUUAGUUAUACAAUUAUAAAGAGGUCCGCUUGUUAAUUUCAUAUUUACACACAUACAGACUAGGAAUUAGUUGGAAACAGGUAUUUAAGAAGCAAUAUUUUAAAUGGCUAUUAUCAUACUUCCAAUUGCCAAAGUAAUCAUUUCAUUAAGUUUCACAACAUUUAGCUUACAUAGGUUACGGAGUCGUAAUUGCGACAAGAGAAAAGAAAGGAGAAUCAAUACUCUGAAUAUAAUUUUUAAUAACUGAAAGUACUUCGGCAUUCAGUAAAUCACUUUCAAUUUCAGAAUGUUGCACGGGCCCCUCUUGGCGGCCGUCUAGCUCAUAAAAAUGAUUGUCGUCCUUUGAUUUUCCCUUUACAAAACAGAUAAAAUGAAGAUCAGUUUCUACAUCUUCCUCAGACCCCUCUACUUCCAAAGGUGGACCAGCAAAUGCUGCAUGUAAAGCUUCAAGUUCUUUCGAAUCCUCGAUAAGCUUAGCCCUUUCUUCGAUAGAUGAACCUUCAGCAGUUCUGAUUAGACUUUUAAUAAAAUCAUUUUCAUUGACUUUUCUUCUAAGUUCUCCAUUCGAAACCGCAUGUAGCAAUCCAAUCGUUCCGCAAGCAUUUGGAAUUGUUUGAGGGUACCACAAGACUUUGUCACUAUCCUUUGGUAAAAUUCGUGAUCCUUUAUAUAUAGUUUUUGUUCCUGAGGAUGGAAAAACGAAUAAAAGAGCAUGGACAGGACGAGGGAUAUAUUCGGGGAUUUCCUCUAAUGAAAACAGGUCAAAAACGCUAGCAUCUUGUACACCGAUUUUUUGUAAGUAAGGUUCCAGCACCUCUGGUGUAUUUUCUAAAGGCCUCCACAUUGUAAUUUUUCUCGAAUGAUAAAUGGCUCUAAUUGAGGCUUUUUUGAUCAGGUUUGGAAGGCGUGGCAGAGGUCUCAGAAGUCAGCAAAGAGGCAAAACACCAAAGUUUGACAAAGUUAAUCGAAUAUCUUUAGAUUGCCAAUUUUGGGAAUCUACAAAAAAGCUUUACUAUAAUCAGUAUCCUAUACUUCAAUAUCCUGUCACGUUCAGCUAUGAAGAUGACUGUAAAAAUAGGGAUUGUUCCAUAGGUAUAUUAUAAAUAGAGUCAUAAAAUAUUAAUAAUUACCAAGAUUUACCUAUAUACAUUUACUGUAAAAUCUAAAAUU
RNAcentral lists this long non-coding RNA (1629 nucleotides) under Schizosaccharomyces pombe (fission yeast). Lineage: Eukaryota; Fungi; Ascomycota; Schizosaccharomycetes; Schizosaccharomycetales; Schizosaccharomycetaceae. The record is from RNAcentral.